Rhineura floridana is the source of this 6509-nucleotide long non-coding RNA. RefSeq lists it as uncharacterized. NCBI's taxonomy places the organism in Eukaryota, Metazoa, Chordata, Lepidosauria, Squamata, Rhineuridae. The transcript is spliced from 3 exons. The record is from RefSeq and is a predicted model, not a curated record.
GGAGUCUGCCUCUUUUGGGGUUUCCAGCUUGCUGGAUUCAAUGCCUUCUUUCACGUAUAGAGCGACUCCGCCACCAAUACGUCCUUCCCUGUCGUCCUGGUAUAGUUUAUAUCCAGGGAUAACCGUAUCCCACUGGUUUUCUCCAUUCCACCAGGUCUCCGUUAUGCUCACUAUAUCAAUGCUCUCCUCUAAGACCAAGCACUCCAGUUCUCCCAUCUUGGUUCGGAGGCUCCUAGCAUUAGUGUACAGGCACUUGUAAGCAGUCUCUCUCUUCAAGUGUCUUUGGCACUUGUGGUUUGGCCUGUGGUAAUUUUGCUCUUCUGAAUUCAUCUUGCACCUCAGGCCUUUAGACUGCAAACUUGUGGCUUUCAUACAACUUUUUCAUGGAGAAGUCCUAGGUACCUUCCUGUCCCAACAGUUUCCCAAGAAAAAACCUCUUUUAAAAGAGUCUGUAGUUUGGAUAUACCCACACUGCUACUAACAUUUGCCAGAAACCUAGCUAUCUCAAGAUAUGUGAAAAAAGGCUUCUGGUUGAAAAAAUAAUAAUUUGUAUGGACUGAAGUAUAGGUAGAAGUUAUCUGAAGCUCCUGAAUUCCUGUCAAUAAUUGCACUGUAUGUUUUAAUACAAGUCUUGUGACCUUUCAUGGGCAGAUUUCUCUGUUUACAAAGGACUGCAAGCAAAAUUAAAUACUCUUGUGUUUAGUUAUGAUCUGUCUUCCAGUGACAGAGCUCUGCAAUUGCUGAAAGAAGACUUAAUUAGUACUCAGCUGAAUUCCUGCCACGUGGGAGGAGGCUGUUCCUGCCAUCAUUGCAUAUUACCUGAAAAGUGAGUCUAUACCCUGGGAAAAUGCAGGUAUCGAUGACACCCAUCUCUUGGGGUUCUGUAUCUGAGCAGAACUUGGCAAGGAGCCUGGGCGCACAUUUAAAGGCUAACUUUUUUUUAUGGCACAAACAUUUCUGGGCCAGAGCCUACUUCGUCAAAUAUAUUAAAUGUCUGUGCAAGUAUAAUCUAUUCAACUUAGAAAGGAGAGGGUGGGAGUCAUUACCAGGACCAACACCAAGUUCUAUUUCUCCUUCAUUCCCUAGUAUGGUAACCCUUGAAUGAAUUGCCUGUGUUCAGUAAUGGUCCUGGGUAAGGACAGCUAUUUUGGAUGGGAAACAUCAGGAAUGGGAAACCUGUGGUCCUACAUUUGUUGAUGGGCUCCAGCUCCCAACAGCCCCAGUCAUCUUGGCCAGUGCUCAGGAUGAUGCGAGUUGGCGCUGAGCAACAUCUAGAGCAGGGGUUCCCAAACUGUAGUUCUUGGGCCACAAGCUUCAUUCAGAUGGUCUGCAGCAUGUCUGCGUUAAAUAUUCAUAUUUAUUGUUCAUUGUGUUUUUAUUGCUGCUUUUAUUUAUAUUUUAUUUUACUGCAUUACCAUUUGAUUUCUAUGGAAUGCAAAUUGUAAUUUAAUAAAAUACAAGAAAUAAACAAUGAAAAUGCAAUUAAAAGUUAAACAGCUUCCAGCACAGUGCUUUACAAUUGCUACAAGAGGCAGAACAAUCUUUUUAAAGUGGUCUUCCAAAACCAUCAGCAAUUUUCAAGUGGUCCGUGGGAGAAAAGGUUUGGGAACCAAUGAUGUAGAGGUCCACAGGGUCCUCAUCUCUGAGGUCUAGAUUUAAGAUGGUGGCUACCGUCACCAAAGUUUAUUGCCAAAUUCAGGCUGUCAUUCGGAGACUACCACACUUAGUAAUGACAUCUGUUUCAUCUGCGAACUACAUUGGUAACAGUUUGUUUUGAGGUUAAAUGGUAGAAUCUGCUCUUAAGCCCUGAAUGGUUCGUUACAAGAAGAGUAAGGUAACAUUUUCUCUCUGAUACCCUCUCCACCCAUGAGCUAAGAUCUGAUGGUGAAAUACAAUUAUACAUGUUGCCACUGUCUUUGAUAAGAUUAACAUCAGCUAGAAUCAUAGCUUUCUCGGGGGGAGCACUCUUGUCACAUUGUCUAAUUAUUCAGAAAUUGGUAAAAAGAUAUCUUUCCACCUUCAGUGCUGGUUAGGCUGCAUCUGGAGGUCAGUGUCCAGUUCUGGGUGCCACAUUUCAAGAAAGAUGGUGACAAGCAGGUGUCCAAACAAAGACAACCAGGAUGUGAAGGGUCUGGAAACAAAAUCCUCUCAGGACUGGAGGGUGAAUGGGUGGAAAUUGCAGGGAAGCAAAUUUGGACUAAAAUGUCAGAAUAAGCUUCCUAAUGAUAAGACCUGUUCAACUGCAUAACAGACUGUCUUGGGAGAUGGAGUGUCCUUCACUGGAGGUAUUUAAGCAGACACAGAAUGGCCAUCUGUCAGGUGUUGCAAUUGCAUCCUACACUGAGUAAGGGAUAAGAGUAAUUAUUCUAUUAUUUAUGUAGGCAACUCCUUAUAUCUGCUCCAAAUCAUCCUGUGGCAAGAAAACUUGAAGUAUCAUACCUCUGUUUGCUUAGCAUAUCUACCUUUUUAUUUUCAAAGCCUCCCCUCUCUCCACCCAAGUUCCAUGACUUUUUGUCUUAGGUGAUUCCUCCCUCAGCAAACCAAACCUUCCAAGAACAUAGGAAGAGCCUGCUGGGUCAUGUCAAAAGCCCAUGUAGUCCAGCAUCUUCUCACAGUGGCGAUGUGAGCCGUUAUUUGAAGAAUAUUUUGACAUACAGGUGCCUGUUUACAUGGAAACCAGGCCAGUAGAACAACUGGAGACUAUGCUGCCACCCCUAAGAACAGUCUUGAUGGAUCCAACCCAGUUUCCAUUCAUGUUGCUCCUUGGAAUGAUUAAGAAGGGAAACAUUCACCAUUUUCAUGGGAAUCUACAGUCCAAAUUGGCAAGGCAAGACAUGGGAGGGACUCUUUCUGCAGGCCGUAGCUGAAGCAGCCCAGCGAGCAGGAGCUACCAAAGCUACUUGGGAGAGAUGCUGUUUCGCAGCCAGUGAGUUGCCUGCCAGCCCAGAUCAACAACAGGCCUUCUGCAGGUGGUUAGAAGUCAACCAGGUGAUUUACUAGAGAGAGGACCUCUUCUGUGGUGGCACCCCAGCUGUGGAACCCCUUCUGUAAGAAAAUGUUACCUGUUGCCUUCUUUACUGUCACUUAUGUAUCCAGCUAAGACAGUAUCCAUUUCCUGAGCUCUUAACAAGCAAUGGCUUUUAAACCACAUUGUGUUUGUUAUAUAAUGCAAAGACAGGCUAUAAAUAUUUUGGGUUGUAUUCAACUAAGCCCUACUUGAAGUAGACCCAUUGAAACUAAUGAACCAAAGUUAGUCAUGUCUAUUAAUGUCAAUGGGCAUACUCUGAGUAGGACUAGCAUUUAAUACCACCCUUUGUAAAUAAAUAAAUACACCUAUGCAUAUACUCGCACCACUUCUCAACUCUCUGGCAAAGGACAGUUGCAACCCCACCUCCUCCCUCCAAACUUGCUUCUCCAUUAAUGGUCUUUAUCAUCUUUUUACAUCUCACAUGAAUUAGUCUAGUCACCCCUGGAGGACUACAAGAUGAUGAUGUGGUUGGAUCAUUCCAGAUAAAGGGUAACCAAAGUGGUGCCCUCCAAUUGCUAUGGACUACAAUUCCCAUCAUCCCUGUUCAUUGGGGCUGAUGGGAGUUAUAGUCCAACACCAUCUGGAAGGGACCAUGUUGGCUACCCUGUUCUAGGUGGAAGAAAGACUAUGAAAGGGACAUGUUAAUUUGGAUUCUAGGAAGCAUUAUGGAAAAUCUUUACCAUUCUCCACUCCAUCUCCUUUUCCCUGUCUCUUUUCAACCUUUUGCUAAUUUCCUGUUCUCUACAUGUGUAGGUCAUGGAAAACUAUGGAAUGCUUUAAAAAAAAUGGGGGCGCCACAGCAUCUGAUUGUGCUGAUACACAACUUAUACUCUGCACAAGAGGCUACUGUAAGGACAGAAUAUGGAGAAACCGAUUGGUUCCCCAUCAGAAAGGGUGUGAGACAGGGGUGUAUUUUAUCACCCUAUUUAUUUAAUCUAUACGCUGAACAUAUCAUAUGGAAAGCAGGAUUGGACUAAGAUGAAGGUGUGAAAAUUGGAGGGAGAAAUAUCAAUUUAAGAUAUGUAAAUUAUACCAUACUACUAGCAGAAACCAGUAAUAAUUUGAAAUGAAUGCUGACGAAAGUUAAAGAGGAAAGCACAAAAGCAGGACUACAGCUGAACGUCAAGAAGACUAAAGUAAUAACAGAAGAUUUAUGUAAGUUUAAAGUUGACAAUGAUGACAUUGAACUUGUCAAGGAUUAUCAAUACCUUGGCACAGUUGUUAACCAAAAUGGAGACAAGGACUGGCGAGGGCAGCUAUGAGGGAACUAGAAAAGGUCCUCAAAUGCAGGGUCAUUCAGACCAUGGUAUUCCUGAUCUCUGUAUGGAUGUGAAAGUUGGACAGUUAAAAAAGCAGAUAAGAGAAAAAUCAACUCGAUAAAGGAAGCCACAGACCUGAACCUACAAAAUCUGAUCAGGGUGGUUUAUAGGAGAUGCUGUUGGAGGUUGCUGAUUCAUAGGGUCGCCAUAAGUUGAAAUCAACUUGAAGCACUUAACAAACCCUAUAAGAACAGUCCUUAAUGUCUACUGCUAGGUUCAGAAAGAUUCCUUAUACUAAGUUUUUUUAAAAAACCAGCCCUGUGUUUUAGGAAGGUUCCUUGAAGCUGAUCAGGGCAUUCUUCAUAAGAAUGACCUUAAAAGACAUCUCACCCCCAUGACGUGGUGGCCCAGGAUCCUCUGCAGCAAAGAGGGAUUCUGUGGCAGAUGGGUCAAGGUGAAAACUGACAUGUUCCUUCAGAGUUUGGAAGCCCCUGCCUGAUGCACUGUGAUGAUUGGCUGCGUUUGACCAAUCCGCUUAUUGAGGUGAGAUAUGCAUGAGCUUCUUGCCCAUUCACACAGCGCCUUUGCUCCUCCCUUCACCAAGUUUAGCAAUCGAGAAAGGAAGUCUCUGGUUAGCCAAUUCCCCAUUUUGUCCAACCUGGAGAAACAAUGUCAAAACAAUGUCUUUGGAACAAGCCAGGAUCUUAACCCAACUUCAGAAUAGGGUUUCUUGGCUUGUUCCGAAUCUGGUAACUCUUGUUUUCCAGCUCAGAUGAAAUGGAAAAUUCGGAACUUCAAGUUCAAGCAGUGUACUUCAGAAAGAGCUGCAUGCACAAGCAAAAGGCUUGUGUGUAUCUUGGCUUAGCAAGACAAGAUAUGGUCAUCCAAACUAGGCUGUUUAUCUCUGAGAAGACACAGUAGAGGGGGAUUUAUGUCACAGUAUGUUUAAGAACAUAACAUAAGAGCCUGCUGGAUCAGGCCAGUGGCCCAUCUAGUCCAGCAUCCUGCUCUCACAGUGGCCAAACAGGUGCCUGGGGGAAGCCCGCAAGCAGGACCUGAGUGCAAGUGUUCAAUCUGUGUUCUAGAGAACAUUGCAUGUCUAGCACAGGUGCUUACCGAAUCAAAUCUAUGGUCCACACAACAGAAAGUGGUGUAUUUUACUUCCUGACACAAAUAUUGACAUAUUCUUUGCGUAUGUUGCAGCAAAAAAGCAUAAACUUUUUUUUAGAUGAAAAUUCACUGGGCUGUCAUAAAAUGAAAAUAGGGGUGUUAUUUUUCAGGCAUUUGUUUUCCUCAAGUUUGUUAAGUUUUAUGGAAUUAUGUAGCAAUUCAUUGUUGUAACAUGACCUAGUGGCCUUGGGAAAAAUAUAUUUAAUAGAAUUUUGGUCCAUUAAUUUUCAUGGGGCAUUCAAUAUCCAGGGGUGCAUACAUGGAUCUCCUAGUUACAUUGUCUAAACAUCCUCACUCCAAAGAGAUGGUCAUUGUGGUCAGCUGUGACGAUGCUGAUCCACCUGUUUUGGUCGAGCCUUCCUCUCAGUAGAUGAUUGGUGCUGCUAAUGCAGGGUGUGCUGUCCACUUCUGUUACCACUCUGACCCAUAUGAGAAGUAGAAAAGAUAAAUCGAUGCUCAUUUCAUAGUGUGUGUUUCAAAAUUUGCUUAAAUUUAUGCUUGCUAGAUACAAUUAUUUACUAGUGAUAUCUGCAAAAGGAAAACAGCACUUUUAGUGAAACCUGUUUCUGGAAGCUUAUAGGAACAUUCAUUUCAGGGCCUGGUGUUUUGCAUUACACUGCAACUUAAGUUGGCAAUCUAGGCCCAGCUGAGGUCAAGUCACUUCUCCAGUCAGUUUCCCCAGCAUACAGAAAUAAACAUCCACUCAUUUAGCACCCCUGGCUUACAAGAGCUGGCCUAGGUGCAAGGAAGACAGAUGAGACUGUCUACAAUUAAAACUCAAGCGACUCAAAGAACAGGUACUGUUUUCUUUUAAUAAGGUAGGACUGUGACAUCCAGAAACUGAACUGAUAGGAAGACCAUGGGGCUGGAAAUGGAGUUGUGACUCUGACAAGCUGCAUGUACUUCCAGGUCUUCUAUACAAGAGUGUAAUACAGGGAGUGUAAUACAAAGGCAGUAUGCUUCUGAAAACCAGUUGCUGGAAGCCUCAGGAGGGGAGAGUGUUCUUGCACUCAGGACCUGCUUGCAGGCUUCCCCCAGGCACCUGCUUGGCC